This 619-nucleotide ribosomal RNA is filed under the name Burkholderia sp. IBa214. RNAcentral's name for it is "bacterial SSU rRNA". It matches the Rfam family "Bacterial small subunit ribosomal RNA", at positions 391 to 1003 of the family's 1533-position model. RNAcentral also lists the same sequence under 1 other name. Lineage: Bacteria; Pseudomonadati; Pseudomonadota; Betaproteobacteria; Burkholderiales; Burkholderiaceae. The record is from RNAcentral.
GCAAUGCCGCGUGUGUGAAGAAGGCCUUCGGGUUGUAAAGCACUUUUGUCCGGAAAGAAAUCCUUGGCUCUAAUACAGUCGGGGGAUGACGGUACCGGAAGAAUAAGCACCGGCUAACUACGUGCCAGCAGCCGCGGUAAUACGUAGGGUGCGAGCGUUAAUCGGAAUUACUGGGCGUAAAGCGUGCGCAGGCGGUUUGCUAAGACCGAUGUGAAAUCCCCGGGCUCAACCUGGGAACUGCAUUGGUGACUGGCAGGCUAGAGUAUGGCAGAGGGGGGUAGAAUUCCACGUGUAGCAGUGAAAUGCGUAGAGAUGUGGAGGAAUACCGAUGGCGAAGGCAGCCCCCUGGGCCAAUACUGACGCUCAUGCACGAAAGCGUGGGGAGCAAACAGGAUUAGAUACCCUGGUAGUCCACGCCCUAAACGAUGUCAACUAGUUGUUGGGGAUUCAUUUCCUUAGUAACGUAGCUAACGCGUGAAGUUGACCGCCUGGGGAGUACGGUCGCAAGAUUAAAACUCAAAGGAAUUGACGGGGACCCGCACAAGCGGUGGAUGAUGUGGAUUAAUUCGAUGCAACGCGAAAAACCUUACCUACCCUUGACAUGGUCGGAAUCCUGCUG